ACAACAUGAAAUUUUUUAUGUAUUUAGAUAAACUGCCAAUCAAGUGAUGAGCACAAAAUAAAGAUAUUCCAGACAAGAAAAGUUUGCCAACGCCUGAUGCUGGCAGUUGAAUAAUUGGAGAAUUACAAUAAAGUCACAGAGUUCAAUAAAAAAGAGGGACAGUUAGGCACUCCAGGAAACUUUUAAAAAAACUGAAUGUGAAGCAAUAAGUCAACUUGUCUGAACAGGAGGUAGGACCUUAAAGAAGAAAAAUGGAAUGAUUUCUACUUGAUAGGUAGAAUGCACAGUUACCCUAUUAGAGGUAUAAUGAAGAACAUAUGUGCCUUAUUUUUCAAGAUAAAAAGAUAAAAUGAAAUCAAUAUUAUUGAAAAGUAAAAGAGGAAGAAAAGAACAAAUAAAGGAAACCAAGGAAAUUGUUACUUGAAAGGUGUGGUUCACACAAAAAGCAUACUAAAAUUGUCAUAAUUUUGAGUGUAUGAAUGUAGAGUGCAUAGACACAUGAGUCUUGAUGUUGGUACCAUGGAGGGGGAAUGUGACCUUAGCUUAUUACCUGCUUCUGCAUUGAGUAUAUUUAUGUCAUUAUAAAGUUGAUAAAUUUUUGGCUUGUAACAUUGAGAAUCAACUUAGAAAAAAAGCAUUAAAAAUGUCAUUAUAACUAGGGAAAAAAUGCAAGUUUACACACAUUCAACAACAUAAAAGCCUGUCAAACAAGGGGUAAGAGAUGCUGACAGUUCUGUGCUGCAUCCAUGCAUGUGAUGGCAAGAGGAAGGUGUUUUUAACGUCUUUUCACAAUAUGAGGCAUUUCCUCAUCCAGCACAAAGGAGCAAAUGACUUUUCUCAUUGCACACCAAUGUAUUUGUCUUGAUAUAAAUCAAUAAAUUUUUCAAUUCCUCAAAAGAUGGACCUACUGUGCCAUUUUAUGUCCAAGUGAAACACACACACACACACACACACACACACAUUCUCUCUCUCUCUCCUCUCUCACACACACUCACUCUUCUAUGUAGAUCUUUUUAUUAAUCUUUGCAGCAUCUAAAUGACUAAUAUGGUACUUUGCAUUGUAUUUUGUUUAUAUUGAUGGAAUUCAAUUUUUACUUCAAUAGUGUUUAAAACUCCAUAAAACAGAGUAUAUUUCUGGACAUUUACCUAGGCUGAAUCUGUAGAAUGAGCUUCGUCCAAACUAAAACUAAGUAAGAAUGUUUUUCUUAAGAAUUCAGUACCCUAUUCAUGGAAACUAAAUUUUCGUAUAAAUAAAGUGAGCUGCCUUUUAUUCUUAUUCUUCCUGUUGACUAGAGGCAGGAACAAUACAAUGAUUCAAAGUGAAGAUCACUAUGAGGCUGUUCACAGCUGUGUUGACAGCCAUGAAUCAAACUGUGAAGUUUAAGUAUGUCAUGUAAACAUCUAAGUUACUAAGUAGAUGUUUUCUUUGAACAACCUCUACUUAGUAGCUUAAGAACUCAUGUCAAAAACUGUUAUAAUAGUUAGACUAUAAAGGAUAUACUCUUUCUUUAAAAUGAGAAUGUUAAAGCCUUAAUUAGAAUUCAAAUUACUUAAAUUGAUAAUUUCGAAGAUGAUUUCAAAUGAUAGUCUUGAGUCAUAAAUGCAGCAGAUCUUUAGAUCUAGUAAGCCCUGUAGCCACAGAUCUACCACCACCAGCACCCCUCAAUCUUCUAGUGCU
Molecule: long non-coding RNA, 1678 nt
Organism: Sapajus apella (tufted capuchin)
Lineage: Eukaryota; Metazoa; Chordata; Mammalia; Primates; Cebidae
Exons: 2
Source: RefSeq, a predicted model, not a curated record